AAUAAGUUAAUUAAGAGCGUAAGGUGGAUGCCUUGGCUCUCAGAGGCGAUGAAGGACGUGAUAAGCUGCGAUAAGCUACGGGGAUUGGCACACACAAUUUGAUCCGUAGAUUUCCGAAUGGGGAAACCCACUAUAUUGAAGAUAUAGUAUCCGUUAAGGAAGCAAACCCAGGGAACUGAAACAUCUAAGUACCUGGAGGAAUAGAAAACAAUAGUGAUUCCGCUAGUAGUGGCGAGCGAACGCGGAAUAGCCCAAACCUAAGUUGUUACGGCAAUUUAGGGGUUGUAGGACCACAACAUUUAUUGCUCAAUGAAUUAGAAUCUGUUGGAAAUCAGAACCAUAGAGGGUGAUAGUCCCGUAUA
This 362-nucleotide ribosomal RNA is filed under the name uncultured Flavobacteriaceae bacterium. RNAcentral describes it as "bacterial LSU rRNA". It matches the Rfam family "Bacterial large subunit ribosomal RNA", at positions 1 to 379 of the family's 2925-position model. Lineage: Bacteria; Pseudomonadati; Bacteroidota; Flavobacteriia; Flavobacteriales; Flavobacteriaceae. The record is from RNAcentral.